AGAGUUAAAAAGUACGUGAAAUUGUUAAAAGGGAAACGUUUGAAACCAGUAUUGCUUGUAAAAAAUCAGCUAGAGGUAUCCAAAGAUUUUAGUUCAAGAGUCUUGGGCUAGGAUUCCGGAAGAUGCCUCUGGUGCACUUUUUUAUUAGCAAGUCAACAUCGGUUUUGUGCUCUGGAUAAAGACUAAUGGGAGGUAGCUUUCUCUUCGGAGCAAGUGUUAUAAACUUUAGUUCAUACAGAGUGCUGAGACCGACGUUUCGCAGCACGCCGUAAGGCUGAGUCCUUUUAAUAUUGGCGAUUUCUCUUCUGCGAACAACUUGUUGAUCGUAGUUGAAUCGUUUCCACUAUUAAGAGUGACUGCAUCCGUGCUAAGGAUGUUGACGAAAUGGUUUUAAAUGACC
RNAcentral lists this non-coding RNA (400 nucleotides) under uncultured fungus. The record is from RNAcentral. Lineage: Eukaryota; Fungi. RNAcentral also lists the same sequence under 1 other name.